GGUCUUAUCCAUUGAUAUUUAUGUCUUGAUGCUGAACAGAAAUGAUAGUCGCUUUGCAAGGCAUUCUGAGUACAUCCUGUUAAGGUCCAAGUCAGACGAGUUCAAUUUGGGCUUCUAAUUACAGCAAGAUUAACCAAAGUGCAGCCUUGAGAUGAAAGCUCUGACAUAAAAUACCAUUUUCAUUGGUCAGGCAGCCAAAAAUAAUCAGCAUGUAGCUUUCAGCUUGAACAUGGAGAUCCAAAGGAUUCUUAGAAAUCAAAAUCAAAUAUAUUCGAUUAAAAACAGUUAACAAAGGAAGGCAUCAAUCAGUCAAAUGGAGCAUGUCUCUUACAUUAACCAGAUCCUUGUGAGUUAAUUUUCUGAGCAUCAGACCUCUCGAUUUAAAGUUUCUUUUCUUCCUCCCCUCGGUGCUUGUAUUUUAUGAUUUUAUCU
This 432-nucleotide unclassified non-coding RNA is filed under the name Hevea brasiliensis (rubber tree). Lineage: Eukaryota; Viridiplantae; Streptophyta; Magnoliopsida; Malpighiales; Euphorbiaceae. The record is from RNAcentral.